Molecule: long non-coding RNA, 1880 nt
Organism: Myotis brandtii (Brandt's bat)
Lineage: Eukaryota; Metazoa; Chordata; Mammalia; Chiroptera; Vespertilionidae
Exons: 3
Source: RefSeq, a predicted model, not a curated record
GCCGGACUUCCUCCGGGGAACUAACCCUCCGAUCAGCAAAGGGGGUGCCCAGCCACCGGCGCGCACACUUUCCGCUGCACGCUGAGGAUGACGACCUCGGAGAGGUGUGUGUAUGGGGAAUAGAGGCGUCAGUGUGAGAUGGGACUGAUACCCGGCACGGAGGUGGCGAAUCUGUUCGGGUGAGCCUCCAAAGCCCCCUUUGGCCACCUCCAAUCAAGGAGACAUUAAAGGAGGGGAAGAGAGGAUAUCCAGUGACCUGCUUCUGGCACAUUUGAUGCUUUCCAUUGCCUGCCAAGAACCAUCCCACUUUGGAACAGGAAGGCCUGCCAACUCCUAGGCCAGCAACAGUCGACAGAUAUGUCCAGCAGGAUGGAGAGAUGAUUUGCCAAGUGAUUGAAAGGUCCUGUCUUCCUGUUUACAGAAAGUUUCCUCAAGUUAGGGGCUUGGAGCUUACAGACUUAGAUUUGUCCCCAGCAACCUUUGUAAAUUAAACACCAGAGACGAGAGUAAAGUGAGAGCCAUCCCAGAUCAGCACCUUCCUCCAUCAAUCACCAAGUCCUGUCCCUCUCAUAAAUCCACUGUCCCCCACCCUGGUCUAGACCCUGUGUCUUGAAAUUACUGAACAGUCUCCCAACAAUCUUCGCCCAUUCUCCUCUAGCAGUCAGAGUGGCCUUUCUCAAAUGCAAAUAUGAGCAAGUCUCUGUCAGGCUUCAUUACCGCCCCCCCUCCCCAACACCACCAACCAGGACUCCUCAUUCCCCUUAAAGGAACUGCUCCCCCCUCCCCAACUUCUUUUGGAAAAUUUCUAUUCAUCUUUCAAGUCUCAGGUGAAAUGUCACUUUCUCUUGGAAGGCUUCUCUGAUUCUCUAUACCUGCCCUGUGGAGUCAAGUGACCUUCCCAAGCUUCCAUGACACUCACUGCACUUAUCACACGUGCUGUAUGGAGGUUGCUGUUUAACUGCUUAUCUUUGCUACAACUCAAGAAAUCCAUUUUAUAUCAAGACCCAGGCCACACAUACCUUUACGUAUAUAAAAACAUAUGUAACUGAAAAAAAGUUUUAUAAACUCUUAUUUUGUAAAAUCCUAUCCUACUUCAUUUAAAACAAAAUCUAGGCACACUUUAUUACAUUGAUCUCAUAACCCUUAAAUGGGUCAGGGCUCCUAGUGUUAGAAAAUACUCUAAAUUCCAUGAAGGGUGUAGCCAUUUCUAUCUUGUUCAUGGUAAUUGGAGUGGAAUAGGAGCUUCAUCAAUAGAUGAAUGCUAGAAUUAUUAUAUCAACAUUCAAUUCCUUUCAUCCUCAAAAACCCUAUGAAGAAACUCUCUUCCCCAUUUAUAGAUUUAUAGGUGAGCAUGCUGAAGAUGGUGAGGUUAAGUCCCUUGCUUAAUGUAAAAAAGCUGAAAAGCCAGGUGGCAGAGUCAGGCUUUGAACCUGGGUAGUUUGGCUUCAUCAUCCUAGCUCUUAGUCACUCAGCUAAAAUUCAGUAUCCCUUGGCCCAGAGGCAUAUGGACGAAUUUACCUGGCAAAAAUACCAGAGGGGUCUCCUUGCAGCAACCUCAAACUCCUUCCACCUCCUGUCCUGCAGCGGCUCCUCGGGCAGCAGUUGUGUCUAUGCAGAGAGGAAGGCAGCUGGCAAGAGCAGCUGUUCUCUUCUGCUCACAUGUGCUCGACCUCCUCAACUGUCAACAAGUUCAGCGGUAUUCAGCAAGUUGGGAGAUUUCAUUGUGCAGAGAGUACAGACGGCUCAGAAAAUGAAACUCCCCAUUGCUCUGAACUACAUGCCUUUAGUUCCCCUCAGAACAAAUCCUUGAAGAAGAUAGUCACUGUGAGAUUGGGUUGUUCAGUUUUGUCCUGGAUGGGAAACUGCAGCAAUACUCAAAG